This 232-nucleotide long non-coding RNA is filed under the name Physcomitrium patens. RNAcentral describes it as "long non-coding RNA (PPAT_LNC013346)". The record is from RNAcentral. Lineage: Eukaryota; Viridiplantae; Streptophyta; Bryopsida; Funariales; Funariaceae.
UGCUGAAGUCAGUAUUGUAAUGGUGAAUCGAGAUUUUUAAUGAAGUGGGUUUGAAUACUCUUGACUGUUUUGUGAAAUCGAGUUGCGUCUGUGAUUGAAGGAUUAAAAGGGCGUCUAUAGGAUUGAGUAUGCGGAGUGAAUGAAAUUUAUUGGGUUAAUCUAACAAGACAGUCAGUGGAUAUAAGAUCGUAAGUACAAAGCGGUAUUGAAGAUUAACAGUUUGGGUUGUUCG